This 207-nucleotide small RNA is filed under the name Mus musculus (house mouse). Lineage: Eukaryota; Metazoa; Chordata; Mammalia; Rodentia; Muridae. The record is from RNAcentral.
CCGUUCCCUUCAGGACCACCAAUAAUCCCGCCACCCCCUCCCAUCUCUCCCGACUGUCUGGAUGACACUGAUGCCCUGGGCAGUAUGCUAAUCUCUUGGUACAUGAGUGGCUACCACACUGGCUACUAUAUGGGUUUCAGACAAAAUAAAAAAGAAGGAAAGUGCUCACAUACAAAUUAAGAACCAGGUCUAAAAUUCAACGGCCCG